RNAcentral lists this small RNA (1041 nucleotides) under Pongo abelii (Sumatran orangutan). RNAcentral describes it as "retained intron". Lineage: Eukaryota; Metazoa; Chordata; Mammalia; Primates; Hominidae. The record is from RNAcentral.
CAGAAGCACCUGAUCUGUGGCCCUGUGAAAGUAGCUGGUGCACCUGGCACUCUGAUGACUGCCCCUGAGUACUACAAGUGAGUGAGGCUGGGAGGAACACCAACCUAAGCCAGGGUAAUGUGGGGGGACUCUACCCAGGACCCUGCCCACUGGCCUUCCUCUCUUCCAAACACAGGUUCCGACAUGCCCAGGUGUGCAAGGCCUCAGCACUGAAGCAUGGUGGGGAUCUGGCACAAGACCCAGCCUGGACAGAGAUCUUUGGUGUUCUCUCUGUGGCCACCAUCAAGUUUGAGAUGCUGAGCACAGCCCCACGGAGUCAGCUCUUCCUGGCUCUGGCUGACAGCAGUAUCUCCACGAAGGGCACAAAGAGUGGCACCUUUGUCAUGUAUAAUUGUGCCCGUCUUGCCACACUCUUUGAGAGUUACAAGUGUAGUAUGGAACAAGGUCUGUACCCCACUUUUCCUCCUGUGAGCAGUCUGGACUUCUCACUGCUACAUGAUGAGGUGAGUGUCCCUCCCGGUAGUUGGCACAAGGAGGCCUGGACUUCCCCUCCCAGUACCUUUCUCCCCCACAGGGUGAAUGGUUGUUGCUCUUCAACAGUAUCCUCCCCUUUCCGGAUCUGCUAAGCCAGACAGCAGUGCUGGACUGCACAGCCCCGGGGCUCCACAUUGCUGCACGCACAGAGAUGGUGAGGCAUAGACAACCAGGACACUCUACACUCUAUUCUUUAUUCUGGCCUGGGGCACAAGAGCAAAGAGAUGGGCCAGUGACUCAGUCUCUGUCUCUAGAUAUGCAAGUUCCUGGUACAGCUCAGCAUGGAUUUCAGCUCCUACUACAACCGGGUACACAUCCUGGGGGAGGCUCGACCACACCUCUUUGGUCAGAUGUUCGUCCGCCUGCAGCUUCUGAGGGCUGUGCGUGAGGUGCUCCAUACUGGCCUGGCUAUGCUGGGUCUCCCUCCACUGAGCCACAUCUAAGGCCACAGAGGCUCCAAUACUUGGGAAUGUUCACAAAGUCAUCAACUGGAAAAAAAGCAAAAAC